UACGGAGGGUGCAAGCGUUAUCCGGAUUCACUGGGCUUAAAGGGUGCGUAGGUGGCUUUGUAAGUCAGUGGUGAAAUCUUAGAGCUUAACUCUAAAACUGCCAUUGAUACUGCUUAGCUUGAAUCAAGUAGAGGUGGAUGGAAUAUUACAUGUAGCGGUGAAAUGCUUAGAUAUGUAAUAGAACACCGAUUGCGAAGGCAGUUCACUAUGCUUGUAUUGACACUGAGGCACGAAAGCGUGGGGAUCAAACAGG
Molecule: ribosomal RNA, 253 nt
Filed under: uncultured bacterium
Lineage: Bacteria
Description: partial 16S ribosomal RNA
Rfam family: Bacterial small subunit ribosomal RNA
Source: RNAcentral